RNAcentral lists this ribosomal RNA (473 nucleotides) under Rothia mucilaginosa. RNAcentral describes it as "partial 23S ribosomal RNA". It matches the Rfam family "Bacterial large subunit ribosomal RNA", at positions 2458 to 2925 of the family's 2925-position model. Lineage: Bacteria; Bacillati; Actinomycetota; Actinomycetes; Micrococcales; Micrococcaceae. The record is from RNAcentral.
AAAAGGUACCUCGGGGAUAACAGGCUGAUCUUGCCCAAGAGUCCAUAUCGACGGCAUGGUUUGGCACCUCGAUGUCGGCUCGUCGCAUCCUGGGGCUGGAGUCGGUCCCAAGGGUUGGGCUGUUCGCCCAUUAAAGCGGUACGCGAGCUGGGUUCAGAACGUCGUGAGACAGUUCGGUCCCUAUCCGCUGCGCGCGUUGGAAAUUUGAGAAAGGCUGUCCUUAGUACGAGAGGACCGGGACGGACGAACCUCUGGUAUGUCAGUUGUACCGCCAGGUGCAUGGCUGAUUGGCUACGUUCGGGAGGGAUAACCGCUGAAAGCAUCUAAGCGGGAAGCCUGUUUCGAGAUGAGAUUUCCUGGCACUUUGGUGUGUGAGGCUCCUUAUAGAUGAUGAGGUUGAUAGGCCGGGUAUGGAAGCGAGGACUGAAGACUCGUGGAGUUGACUGGUACUAAUAGGCCGAAGGCUUACUUUU